This 79-nucleotide transfer RNA is filed under the name Bacillus thuringiensis serovar aizawai. RNAcentral describes it as "tRNA-Met". It matches the Rfam family "tRNA". From Rfam's summary of the family: Transfer RNA (tRNA) molecules are approximately 80 nucleotides in length. Their secondary structure includes four short double-helical elements and three loops (D, anti-codon, and T loops). The record is from RNAcentral. Lineage: Bacteria; Bacillati; Bacillota; Bacilli; Caryophanales; Bacillaceae.
CGCGGGGUGGAGCAGCACGGUAGCUCGUCGGGCUCAUAACCCGAAGGUCGCAGGUUCAAAUCCCCUGUCCCCGCAACCA